AAUCAUAUACAGAGGACGAUACAAGAAACUUACA
This 34-nucleotide small RNA is filed under the name Arabidopsis thaliana (thale cress). RNAcentral's name for it is "ATSL294360". Lineage: Eukaryota; Viridiplantae; Streptophyta; Magnoliopsida; Brassicales; Brassicaceae. The record is from RNAcentral.